CUCCUUCGCUUCUACCAUUCCCACUACUUUUGCUGUUGCUGCUUAUUUGCCUUGCACUUUUCAUUCCGCCACCGCACAUCCAAACGCCGCAGGGGGUUGUGAAAAGAGGAGAGGUAUAGGCCAGAGCAAGAGAGAAAACAAAACAACGCGAAUUACAACAGCAACAACAAGUGCAUGGUAUUCCUGCUGCUACUCCAACAACAAUAGGAAGCACAAACAACUAAGAAGAGAGUGAGAGAGUGGGGUGGGGGGGAGUGCAAGUCAAUGCGUGCGGCGCAUCGUCUCGCUGCUGGCUAGCCACAACAUAGCGGGACCAAAACAGCAACAAGAAACGAAAACUAACUUCCAACGCCGAUCUCGUUGCUACCCUUGUAUAUCGUUCGUUCCUUUGCUUUGAUACAGCAUGCCCUGUAUAGAAUGUCAGCACAUAAUAGUGAAAUCAUCUAAAGUUUCUACUCAGAUACUGAACAGCUUUCCUAGAGAUUUUCGUUGCAAAUUUAAGAAACAGAAGUUGCCACGAAAUGACUGUCGUAAAGAGCACAGGCAAACAUCAGACGCAUGCGCAAGGUAUUCACCAAAGAAAACACGAAAAUAUGCGCCGACAGUUUUUGAAGUUCCGCAUGCGUUAUCCGGCAAGAUCUAAGAUCACCCACGAUGCUACUCAGCCAAAAGUAAAGCAACCGAAAUUCCGUCAACCCAAACUUUUUCCCAAUAAUUCCAACAUUUUCUUUUAAUUUUUUCAAAGUUUAAAUGUUGUACUUCAAAAUUCUGAAAUUAAUCGUAUUAAGAAUAUAAGAAUAUAAACCCACUAUAUCCCUA
Long non-coding RNA from Drosophila obscura, 819 nucleotides. RefSeq lists it as uncharacterized. NCBI's taxonomy places the organism in Eukaryota, Metazoa, Arthropoda, Insecta, Diptera, Drosophilidae. The record is from RefSeq and is a predicted model, not a curated record. The transcript is spliced from 2 exons.